Molecule: ribosomal RNA, 251 nt
Filed under: uncultured bacterium
Lineage: Bacteria
Description: partial 16S ribosomal RNA
Rfam family: Bacterial small subunit ribosomal RNA
Source: RNAcentral
CGUAGGGCGCGAGCGUUGUCCGGAUUUAUUGGGCGUAAAGAGCUCGUAGGCGGCUUGUUGCGUCGACUGUGAAAACCCGCGGCUUAACUGCGGGCUUGCAGUUGAUACGGGCAGGCUAGAGUUCGGUAGGGGAGACUGGAAUUCCUGGUGUAGCGGUGAAAUGCGCAGAUAUCAGGAGGAACACCGGUGGCGAAGGCGGGUCUCUGGGCCGAUACUGACGCUGAGGAGCGAAAGCGUGGGGAGCGAACAGG